GGGGAUGUAGCUCAAUAGUAGAGUGUAUGCUUAGCAUGUGCCAGAUUCUGGGUUUGAUUCCCAGCAUCACAG
Molecule: transfer RNA, 72 nt
Filed under: Mesocricetus auratus (golden hamster)
Lineage: Eukaryota; Metazoa; Chordata; Mammalia; Rodentia; Cricetidae
Rfam family: tRNA
About the family: Transfer RNA (tRNA) molecules are approximately 80 nucleotides in length. Their secondary structure includes four short double-helical elements and three loops (D, anti-codon, and T loops). Further hydrogen bonds mediate the characteristic L-shaped molecular structure. tRNAs have two regions of fundamental functional importance: the anti-codon, which is responsible for specific mRNA codon recognition, and the 3' end, to which the tRNAs corresponding amino acid is attached (by aminoacyl-tRNA synthetases). tRNAs cope with the degeneracy of the genetic code in two manners: having more than one tRNA (with a specific anti-codon) for a particular amino acid; and 'wobble' base-pairing, i.e. permitting non-standard base-pairing at the 3rd anti-codon position.
Source: Rfam by way of RNAcentral